AUCCCUCCGCCGAGCAGCACAGCAACAGCAAAGGCCAGCCAAGGGAGAUCGUAUGUCAGCCAUCUCGCGUCGCCACGAAAACACGACAGUCGUUCGUCAUGCCUUGGAUAUAACAGCAAAUCCUCCACGGCACCUGCUUUAUAUAACGCAAGAAGGCAGCUGCAAGGACACGAGGAUGUGAAAGAGCCAGUGCGGCGCGACUUCACGUAGUGCAGAGGAGCCAAUGUCAAAAAAUCAAAAUACAUUGGCAUGCGAUUUGGACAAGAAAACUAGGACAACCCAGGACGUGCAUUUCUCAGCACCCAGUCAACUGCCAGAAGUGACUCGAACACAGGCCACCAGAGACAAUGCCUACGAAAUUAUUGGCCCUGAUGACGAGAGCCCUCAAGGGGCAAACGACAUCUCUGUUGCAGAAGUGAGCCCGAUACCACCUAAAGUUACUAUGACAGGUGGCACGGCAGCAAUAGAUACAGAGACGGCCAUGUCUACUGCAGCUGCAACAGUGUACGAGGCAAGCAGCAGUGUGUCAGCAUCAGCAGCAGUGUCAGAAGGAACCGCACCACGCCUGGUAGAGCAACAUGUGUGCUAUCACUGUGACUUUUUUUGUAGUGCAUACAACUCAUUUGCUCAACAUACAAAAGCUUUUCACCACGACUGUGAGCCAGUGUUCUUGUGCAGCAAGUGCAAGACUAAGUUAAGUGUUAUAACACAGUACAAGCAUCAAUUUAAGAUAUGAAAACAUAUUACAGUUGUUGCCUCCCCAGCCAGCCCACAUAGCGACAACAAUGUGGAACACAUGGUGGGACACACAUCUUCUCCAUUAGAAGAUAGUAGAGACUGUCAGUGUUGUUGUUAGAUUAACUGGUCUUUGUAGGCAACUAGAAGGACAACACAGGUGUCAUAAGAUUGUUGUUUAUGUUGUUGUUGAAGAGGUAAAAAAGAAGUUUGAUGCAGCUGAAGUGCCAACUGAUAUUGAGCAAACAAGAACAACCACCUGAGAAAGCAACACUAUCGAAAUUUGGGUAUCUAUGUGCCGCCAACUCUGGUAAAGAUGGCAUAGGACAGAAGUGUGAUGAAAAUCACACAGACACUGCUGUUCCAUCACUGGUCACAGUGAGCAGUGACUUGUAGGGCAAGAGAGUCAACUGACACGAACAUUAUGGCAUAGUGUCAUGCUCCCAUGUGACCACUUUCCAUGUUAUUUUGCAUGAUACAGCUCAACCUCCAGAAACGAGACUGCAACUUGUCUGUAAAGAGCUUUCACAAAAAAUUAUUCAUAACACUAUUAACACAGCAGUAUCUGCUUUUUUGUGGGUUCGGGGUUCCCGGGUGUCCAUUAAUGCAAGAAUUGCGGAAAA
RNAcentral lists this unclassified non-coding RNA (1358 nucleotides) under Dermacentor andersoni. Its description in RNAcentral is "uncharacterized LOC126529610". The record is from RNAcentral. Lineage: Eukaryota; Metazoa; Arthropoda; Arachnida; Ixodida; Ixodidae.